CGGCAGGCUAACACAUGCAAGUCGAGGGGUAACAUGAGUGCUUGCACUUGAUGACGACCGGCGCACGGGUGCGUAACGCGUAUGCAACCUACCUUCUACAGGGGGAUAGCCCAGAGAAAUUUGGAAUAAUACCCCAUACGAUCUUUACUUGGCAUCGAGUAAAGAAGAAAACUUCGGUGGUAGAAGAUGGGCAUGCGUCCUAUUAGUUAGUUGGUGAGGUAACGGCUUACCAAGACAUCGAUUGGUAGGGGCCCUGAGAGGGGGAUCCCCCACACUGGUACUGAGACACGGACCAGACUCCUACGGGAGGCAGCAGUGAGGAAUAUUGGACAAUGGAGGCAACUCUGAUCCAGCCAUGCCGCGUGCAGGAAGACUGCCCUAUGGGUUGUAAACUGCUUUUAUACAGGAAGAAACUGCGCUACGUGUAGCGUACUGACGGUACUGUAAGAAUAAGGAUCGGCUAACUCCGUGCCAGCAGCCGCGGUAAUACGGAGGAUCCAAGCGUUAUCCGGAAUCAUUGGGUUUAAAGGGUCCGUAGGUGGUCCAUUAAGUCAGAGGUGAAAGCCUAUCGCUCAACGAUAGAACUGCCUUUGAUACUGGUUAUCUUGAGUUAUUAUGAAGUAGUUAGAAUAUGUAGUGUAGCGGUGAAAUGCAUAGAUAUUACAUAGAAUACCAAUUGCGAAGGCAGAUCACUAACAAUGUACUGACGCUCAUGGACGAAAGCGUGGGGAGCGAACAGGAUUAGAUACCCUGGUAGUCCACGCCGUAAACGAUGGAUACUAACUGUUCGACCUUCGGGUUGAGUGGUUAAGCGAAAGUGAUAAGUGACCCACCUGGGGAGUACGUUCGCAAGAAUGA
Molecule: ribosomal RNA, 858 nt
Filed under: uncultured marine bacterium
Lineage: Bacteria
Description: bacterial SSU rRNA
Rfam family: Bacterial small subunit ribosomal RNA
Source: RNAcentral